This 490-nucleotide ribosomal RNA is filed under the name uncultured bacterium. RNAcentral describes it as "partial 16S ribosomal RNA". It matches the Rfam family "Bacterial small subunit ribosomal RNA", at positions 30 to 507 of the family's 1533-position model. The record is from RNAcentral.
AUUGAACGCUGGCGGCAGGCCUAACACAUGCAAGUCGAACGGUAACAGGGAUCAGCUUGCUGAUUCGCUGAUGAGUGGCGGACGGGUGAGUAAUGUCUGGGAAACUGCCUGAUGGAGGGGGAUAACUACUGGAAACGGUAGCUAAUACCGCAUAACGUCGCAAGACCAAAGAGGGGGACCUUCGGGCCUCUUGCCAUCGGAUGUGCCCAGAUGGGAUUAGCUAGUAGGUGGGGUAACGGCUCACCUAGGCGACGAUCCCUAGCUGGUCUGAGAGGAUGACCAGCCACACUGGAACUGAGACACGGUCCAGACUCCUACGGGAGGCAGCAGUGGGGAAUAUUGCACAAUGGGCGCAAGCCUGAUGCAGCCAUGCCGCGUGUAUGAAGAAGGCCUUCGGGUUGUAAAGUACUUUCAGCGGGGAGGAAGGGAGUAAAGUUAAUACCUUUGCUCAUUGACGUUACCCGCAGAAGAAGCACCGGCUAACUCCGUG